GACGAACGCUGGCGGCGUGCCUAAUACAUGCAAGUCGAGCGAAGUUUUUCUGGUGCUUGCACUAGAAAAACUUAGCGGCGAACGGGUGAGUAACACGUAAAGAACCUGCCUCAUAGACUGGGACAACUAUUGGAAACGAUAGCUAAUACCGGAUAACAGUAUUUCUCGCAUGAGAGAUAUUUAAAAGUUGGUUAUGUUGACACUAUGAGAUGGCUUUGCGGUGCAUUAGCUAGUUGGUGGGGUAAAGGCCCACCAAGGCGACGAUGCAUAGCCGACCUGAGAGGGUGAUCGGCCACACUGGGACUGAGACACGGCCCAGACUCCUACGGGAGGCAGCAGUAGGGAAUCUUCCGCAAUGGGCGAAAGCCUGACGGAGCAACGCCGCGUGAGUGAAGAAGGAUUUCGGUUCGUAAAGCUCUGUUGUUAGGGAAGAAUGGAUAUGUAGUAACUAUACAUGUAAGAGACGGUACCUAACCAGAAAGCCACGGCUAACUACGUG
This 499-nucleotide ribosomal RNA is filed under the name uncultured bacterium. RNAcentral's name for it is "partial 16S ribosomal RNA". It matches the Rfam family "Bacterial small subunit ribosomal RNA", at positions 28 to 507 of the family's 1533-position model. The record is from RNAcentral.